RNAcentral lists this ribosomal RNA (253 nucleotides) under uncultured bacterium. RNAcentral describes it as "partial 16S ribosomal RNA". It matches the Rfam family "Bacterial small subunit ribosomal RNA", at positions 524 to 776 of the family's 1533-position model. The record is from RNAcentral.
UACGAAGGGGGCUAGCGUUGCUCGGAAUUACUGGGCGUAAAGGGAGCGUAGGCGGACAUUUAAGUCAGGGGUGAAAUCCCAGAGCUCAACUCUGGAACUGCCUUUGAUACUGGGUGUCUUGAGUGUGAGAGAGGUGAGUGGAACUCCGAGUGUAGAGGUGAAAUUCGUAGAUAUUCGGAAGAACACCAGUGGCGAAGGCGACUCACUGGCUCAUUACUGACGCUGAGGCUCGAAAGCGUGGGGAGCAAACAGG